UUGACGUAAAACUCUUGUUAACAGUUCCUACAGGUUUUUACUUUGAAAAAAUUCGUAUUGAAAAGAUUUCAUGUACAUUUUAAUUGCAUUUUUAAAAUCUCUGCUUGGUUGCAUAUGAGACAAUUUAAAAAUAGUUAAGGUGUUUUGGAAAUAAACAACAUUUUUAAGAGUUUUUGAUUAUCAAAAAGAGUUCGUUUAGGAGGGGAAAAAAACAACAAAAACCAAAGCAAAUCCAUGCUUCAUACGAAAUGCAGAUACUCUUAGCUAUCUGGUAAAAGGGCAAAAAAUAAGACUUUAAAGUCUUUAGCACCAUUUAAAAAAAAUCAUAUUGAAAGAUUUUUCUUUUUUUUUUCUUCUUCUUCUUGUAUGACUACACAAGUAGAGGGUAGAGUUGGUAAGCCAGCAUUACUCAGCUGCAUCCUGCUCAGCCCGGAGCACAGAUCUCGAACACAUGUGCCAAAGAUGGAAUACCUGUCAGUGUGGGACCCUGAUUGACUGUGGUGAGCAGAACAUGUGGCCCUGGCUUCAGAGCUGGACAGUGAAAAAUCCUCUACAAUUUGGAAAGUGAUCCCUUGAGACAAUGGGUUCCAUUUUUGAGUGCUUUUUCUAUACCUCCCAGACUAAGAGAUUUGGAAAUGGGGCAACUUCUGCUCAUCAUUUAAUAUUUAACUCAGGAUUCUCCUCUCUGUGUACCUUCUGUGACUUGUGAACAUGGAUCCAACCCCUCCCUCUUAUGUACUGAAAUUGUACCUGGUACACACUUCUAUACAACACUUACAUUGUGUCACAGUAAUACACUGACUUCCUUCAGGUCUUGUAAAUUGAGGAGAGAGAAUCAGUCCAAUGGAUGGCCAAUCCCAUGGUUGGCACAUAGAAGGCACUUACAAAAGUUUAUUGAAUUGAAAUGGAAAUUUCACCUUAAAAAAUAUUUUUAAUCAUUAACAAAGUUGGAGCUUUAUACACAAAAGAUAAUAAAGGAAGAAAAUAGCAAAAAGACCAAGAAAUAGCUAUCUAUGGCUGAUUUAACUUGUUUACCAUCAGAUGCUUUAUUUUUAUUCCUGCUAUCAAACGUGUGCCCAUCUCCUGAAGAGGUGUAAUUUCAAAAGCCAUAAAUUCUUUUCUCUUUACAUCACAAAAGAGAGAGGACAAAAUCAGCGAUCAAGGGAAAGCAUGAGACAGACAUGCCCUUGGAGAAGCCACAGCCUGUCUCUGGUGACCACGACUAAUAGGAGCCAAGAAGGUCAAAACCCUGCACCACAGCAUCUGUGACUCAGGUCCCAAGUACACGGGGCCUGAGGAGGCUCUGGUUGCAUUCAAGACAUGAUGGAUAUUUAAGAUGCCAGUGACAUAAUCUGACAAAAGUCCGUUUUCUUCUAUCUGAGUGCAAAGCUGAAGUCCAUUCUCAGAGACAUGAAAAUCAAUCACUGUGCAGCUUCCUAGAGAGUCAAGUAACAGGUCCCUUCUGGGCCCUCCCAGAUCAUUCCUAAGCAAAAGCUAGAUUGCUUUUCUUCUCUCCUUCAAAUAUGUUUAACCAUCACGUGAACUCAAUGCAUCCCAACGGCCCCCACAGCUCGUGUCCACAUGGUGUCGUUACUGAGUCCUUUGUAUCAGCUCCAGUUCUUCUCUCUUCAGGUUUUGAGCAGAAAGGAAGUUCUCCGGAGCCUUAUUGCAUGCUCAUCUCCACCUGCUCUCUGCAGAAGUUUCCAGAUUGCUCCUCAUUCAGUUUUGGAAAAUUGGCCUUAAUGUUUAUCAAAUAUCUACUCUGUAUCAGACAUAAGGCAUAUGCAUACAUGCAUCAUUUUAUUUAGUCUUCAUGACAAGUGGGAAGGGAAUUAUUAUUGUCCCCAUUUUAAGGAUAGAGGAAUGCUAGAGCAGAGACGUAUAGGAACGCAGCUUGGCUCCCGGAGCUAACCUCUUGGAGAGCAGAGAUUCCCAGGAUUUGGACCCUGAGGCCCAUUCUCUUAAGCACUAUACUUCCUUGCUCUCUUUCUUCUGCCUGAGCACUGCCAUUAGGCUCCUGUGCUCACAUGUUCCAGCCACCCAGGCAGGGCCAGCCGAAGUCAUCUGUGAGAUUUUUUAGCAAACACACAGCCCUAAAUACAGCCUGGUGGCCCAUGUGACUCUAGAGGCUCCAGACCACCUGAGUUGGCCACCAUUCACUGAGGACACUGUUUCUCCCUCCUUGGCUCUUUAGAGGAUUCAAAAGUACAUCGGAGCACACGUGCUUUAAAACAUCACUAGUGAAUUGCAACUUCUUUAUAAUCAAAACAUCGAAAAGAGAUCUUCCUUUGGAGUCCUCAGGAAAGGCUAUGCCCUGUUAUCCCAUGUCAAGACCAGGAGCCAGUCCGCAGACUGGAGGUGAGACUUUAUUUGGAGGAUCUCUGCAAAUGAGCAAAAUAAAUAAAAUUUAUUUUUAAUGCCCACUCUGCCAAGCACUUUG
Long non-coding RNA from Equus caballus (horse), 2440 nucleotides. RefSeq lists it as uncharacterized. NCBI's taxonomy places the organism in Eukaryota, Metazoa, Chordata, Mammalia, Perissodactyla, Equidae. The record is from RefSeq and is a predicted model, not a curated record.